RNAcentral lists this long non-coding RNA (11689 nucleotides) under Gossypium barbadense (sea-island cotton). RNAcentral describes it as "long non-coding RNA (GBAR_LNC008737)". Lineage: Eukaryota; Viridiplantae; Streptophyta; Magnoliopsida; Malvales; Malvaceae. The record is from RNAcentral.
UUUUCUCUUUUUAGUACCCAAUCCCCCUUUUCUUUGUGAUCGAUUUUGGCUUUUUAAAACCGAUCUAUAAAACAUUCAUUUCCUAUUUUUUGUUUUCGUUCUUUUGUUUAUUCUUUUCCCCAUUCCUCGCAUGCUUCCUUUUGCUGUUGUUUUUGUCUCUGUUGCAGGUGUGUCCGGUGUGGGUGGUGCACGUGAUGGCCAAGGGCAGAGGUAGCAUGGGGCGACUGAUCAGAGGCGUGCAUGCGUGAGGGGAGGUGAAGCGGCGGCAGCUACAAAGCAUGAGGCUAGGGUUUUUUUGUUUGGUUGAAAACUAGUAUAGUUUGGGCCAUUCGGGCCUCUAAGGUUUUUAUCAUUAUUAGGCAUUUGGAUUGGGUUUGUUUUUUGGGUUAAUUUUGUUGUAAUGGUCUGUUAAUUUUUAUUAGUCUUGGUCCAUUUGGGUUUUAUGGUCUGGGCCUGGGCAAAAAUGGGCUUUUACAGCUGCCCCUCUUUGCUCAUUUUCGUGUAACGAGAAUAGAGCAAAGACAUCAAAAGGGCCAAUUUUGCCCGGCCUUGCCGAGUCUUGACUUUUUGGUGCUCAUCUUUUUUAAGUAGCCUUAUUCCAGCCUGCUACGUCUUGUUGCUUCGAUCCACUCUACUGCAACUUCAGAUACGCCUUGUAGCUUCAAUCUACUCUGCUACGACUCCAUGGGGAUGAGAUUUGUGUUUUUAGUGUGCUCCACUACUAUUUAGGGAGAUAAGACUGGAUGUGAUCUGCUCCACUACUACUUAGGGAGAUAAGACUGUAAUCUUCAAUCUAUUCCACUGCCAAAUACAGGGAGAUAGAGUUAUCAGCUUCAAUGUACUCCACUGUAGUUACAGGAAGGUAAAAUCUGCCAUCUUCGAUCUACUCCACCACUAGUAUGGGAAGACAAGAUCUGUAUCUUGGAUCCACUUCCUAUCAAUAUAGGAAGAUAGGACCUGCUAUCUUCGAUCUACUUCACGCCAAUACAUGAAGACAAGAUCUGCUUUCUGCGAUCUACUUCGCCACCAAUAUGGGAAGACAAGAUCUGCAUCUUCGACCCACUUCCUAUCAAUAUAGGAAGAUAGGACCUGCUAUCUUCGAUCUACCUCACGCCAAUACAUGAAGACAAGAUCUGCUUUCUGCGAUCUACUUCGCCACCAAUAUGGGAAGACAAGAUCUGCAUCUUGGAUCCACUUCCUAUCAAUAUAAGAAGAUAGGACCUGCUAUCUUCGAUCUACUUCACGCCAAUACAUGAAGACAAGAUCUGCUUUCUGCGAUCUACUUCGCCACCAAUAUGGGAAGACAAGAUCUGCGUCGUCGAUCCACUUCCAAUCAUUAUAGAAAGAUAGGACCUGUUAUCUUUGAUCUACUUCACGCCAAUACAUGAAGACAAGAUCUACUUUCUGCGAUCUACUUCGCCACCAAUAUGGGAAAACAAGAUCUGCAUCUUGGAUCCACUUCCUAUCAAUAUAGAAAGAUAGGACCUGCUACCUUCGAUCUACUUCACGCCAAUACAUGAAGACAAGAUUUGCUUUCUUCGAUCUACUUCGCCACCAAUAUGGGAAGACAAGAUCUGCAUCUUCGAUCCACUUCCUACCAAUAUAGGAAGAUAGGACCUGCUACUUUCGAUCUACUUCACGCCAAUACAUGAAGACAAGAUCUGCUUUCUUCGAUCUACUUCGCCACCAAUAUGGGAAGACAAGAUCUGCAUCUUCGAUCUACUUCGCCACCAAUAUGGGAAGACAAGAUCUGCAUCUUCGAUCCAUUUCCUACCAAUAUAGGAAAACCGGAUCAGCUAUCUUCGACCUACUUCACGCCAAUACAUGAAGACAAGAUCUGCUUUCUUCGAUCUACUUCGCCACCAAUAUGGGAAGACAAGAUCUGCAUCUUCGAUCUACUUCGCCACCAAUAUGGGAAGACAAUAUCUGCAUCUUCGAUCCACUUCCUACCAAUAUAGGAAAACCGGAUCAGCUAUCUUCGACCUACUUCACGUCAAUACAUGAAGACAAGAUCUACUUUCUUCGAUCUACUUCUUGUCCCGGGAGAUAGAACUAUCAGCUUCAAUGUACUCCACUGUGGUCAGGGAGGUAAAAUCUGCCAUCUUUUGAUCUGCUUCGCUGCCAAAUACAGGAAGGCAAGAUCUGCAAUCUUCAAUCUAUUCCACUGCCAAAUACAGGGAGAUAGAGUUAUCGGCUUCAAUGUACUCCACUGUAGUCACAUGGAGGUAAAAUCUGCCAUAUUUGAUCUUCAAUCUAUUCCACUGCCAAAUGCAGGGAGAUAGAGUUAUCGGCUUCAAUAUACUCCACUGUAAUCAGGGAGGUAAAAUCUGCCAUCUUUGAUCUGCUUCGCUGUCAAAUUCAGGAAGGCAAGAUCUGCAAUCUUCAAUCUGCUCUGCUACAAACGAGAGAGGCAAGGUUUGUCUUUGAUUUUUACUGAUCUGUUCUCUAGGGAACAUGACCUGUAUAAUGAACCUAAUUAUGCCUAAUGAUUAGGAUGGCAUGAUCAGAAUGGAUCAAAUGUUCCUAACUAGAUGUGCGUGAAUGACAUUUGAAUGAAUGCAGAAUGUCAUGAAAAUGAUUCCUUAAUGCUUAGGUUGUCAUUCCUCAUUGUUCAUCAAGGUUCUAUCACUGAUGCCUUCUUGUUCAGCCAGUACCUUUGAUAGAAAACCUAAAGAAAUAGACGCUAUUUAGACUAUCAUUUCUCAAAUGUUUCCAACCCUUAGGUUUGGUUAGUUCUAAACAAUAGUCUUGUUUCAGGUCCUCGUAUUAUUUAGAAACUUUCAGAGUAAUAUGCAGAACUCCUUCUGCCUGUGUAUUGUCAGUCCAUUAAUCGUUAUUUCAAUGAAAAAUGCUUGAAAAAGAUUAUCAAAAUGGACAAAAUGAAAUUUUGUUGAGAGCAAAGCUCUUAAACAAACAAAUCAAUCAAGAUAGCAAAUUUUGCUGAGAUACGAGAUGAAUAAGAUGAAAAAGAUUAUCACAAUGGAUAAGACGAAAAUUUGUUGAGAGCAAAGCUCUAAAUGAACAAAUUAAUCAAGAUAGCAAAUUUUGCUAAAGUACAGAACGAGGAUAAAUUAAUCAAGAUGAUGUAUUUUGUCAAAAAUACAAAAAAUGAAUAAAAUGGAAAUAGGUGCCCCAGAUAUCGUAGCAUGAGCUUCUCUGCCCCAAACUUCUUAAGGACCCUUUUGAACUUGAUAUGUGUUUAGAAGUCCUAGAAGGCUUUGUUGAUGCCCCAUCUUUGAUCGAAAACUACUUUAUGCCUCAUCUUUGAUCGAAAAUUUGAAUUGCCCAUUCCUGGGUUUUCAAUUCAAAACCCCUUUGGUCUCAAGGUGCCCUUUGCGGGUUUUCGCCUUGGCCUCUCCUUUUUUUUUUUAGGCAAAGUACCUCUUCACUGAAUCCGAAUUCACAGGAUUGGGCAAGCUUUUGCCAUCCAUCCCAGUUAAAAUUAAUGCCCCUCCUGAAAAGGCCUUUUUUACUACAUAAGGUCCCUCCCAGUUUGGCAUCCACUUUCCUCUGAAGUCUUUUUGUAUGGGAAGGAUCUUCUUCAGUACCAAAUCCCCUUCAUGGAAGUUUCUAGGACGAACUUUCUUAUUGUAAGCUCGCAUCAUUUGUUUCUGGUACAUUUGACCAUGACGGAUAGCUCUUAACCUCCUUUCUUCAAUCAAGUUCAGCUGAUCAUAUCGGGAUUGGACCCAUUCUGCUUCGUCUAACUUUAGUUCUGAAAAAACUCGGAGGGAGGGAAUUUUAACCUCAAUUGGUAGCACUGCCUCCAUUCCAUAAACCAAAGAGAAUGGUGUUGCCCCGGUAGAAGUCCUGACGGACGUUCGAUAAGCAUAGAGGGCGAAUGGCAACUUCUCGUGCCAAUCUCUAUAGGUCUCAGUCAUUUUCUCCACAAUCCUUUUGAUAUUUUUAUUGGCUGCCUCCACCGCACCAUUCAUCUUUGGACGGUAUGGUGAUGAGUUGUGGUGCUUGAUAUUGAAUUGACUACAAACCUCUACUAUCGUGCUAUUAUUCAAAUUUAAUGCGUUGUCAGAUAUAAUCCUUUCGGGCAUUCCAUACCGACAUAUGAUUUCCUUUUUUAAAAACCUGCUGACAGCUGCCUUUGUGACGUUCGCGUAAGAAGUAGCCUCUACCCACUUAGUAAAGUAGUCAAUCACUACAAAAAUGAAACGAUGUCCGUUUGAAGCCUUUGGCGAUAUCAGCCCAAUGACGUCCAUGCCCCACAUGGAGAAAGGCCAUGGGGAAGUCAUGACGUGAAGAGGUGAUGGAGGCACAUGGAUUUUGUCUCCGUAAAUCUGGCAUUUAUGGCACUUCUUAGCAUAUUUGAUGCAGUCUCCUUCCAUGGUAGACCAAUAAUAUCCAAAUCUCAUGAUUUGUCUGGCCAUUGUGAAACCGUUAGCGUGUGUUCCACAAAUACCAUCAUGGACUUCUUCCAAGAUCUGUUUGGCCUCCACAGCGUCCACACAUCUUAACAGCACCUGAUCUUUUCCUCCUUUGUACAGGAUCUCUCCAUCUAAGACGUAAUCACUGGCCAGCCUCCUCAACAUUCUCUUGUCAUUCUCAGUUGCUUGGUUUGGGUAUUCACGAUUUUUCACGUAUCGCAAUAUGUCCUGGUACCAAGGGUUGUCGUCCUUUUCUUCUUCCUUGUCAAUGUUACAACAGUGGGCUGGAGCAUCAUAAAUGCUCAUUUGGAUAGGUUUCACAUCCUCUGGUCUAUUUACUUUGAUCAUGGAAGCUAAUGUAGCUAAAGCGUCAGCCAUCUGAUUCUCGUCUCGUGGGAGGUAACAAAAAGUGAUGUCGUCAAACUCCUCAAUCAAUUCUAGGACUAUCAUUCGGAAACUAAUCAACUUAGGGUCUCUUGUUUCCCAUUCGCCUUUGAGCUGAUAAAUUACCAAUGCCGAAUCCCCACAUACCUCAAGUACCUUGAUUUUGCGUUCCAUAGCCGCACGGAUUCCCAUUAUACAUGCUUCAUAUUUCGCCAUGUUAUUUGCGUAAUCAAAAUCUAGUUUACUGGUGAAAGGAUAAUGAUCACCGUUUGGAGAUACCAAGACUGCCCCAAUCCCGUUGCCCAUGGCAUUUGAGGCUCCGUCAAAAUUUAAUUUCCAAGUAUUGCCUUCUUGUGUGCUUGCUUCAGUAGUUGCCACAUACAUCAGAUCCUCAUUUGGGAAAUCAAAGUUCAAAGGCUCAUAAUCGUCCAGGGUUCUACUUGCUAGAAAAUCUGCUAUCGCGCUCCCUUUUACAGCCUUUUGAUUCACAUAGGUUAUGUCAAAUUCAGAUAGUAGAAUUUGCCAUCGGGCCAUCCUUCCGUUUAGAGCAGUUGACUCCAUCAUGUAUUUCAGAAGGUCUAACUUUGAGAUUAACCAAGUCGUAUGGUACAACAUGUAUUGUUUCAAUCUCCGAGUAGUCCAAACCAAUGCGCAACAUAAUUUUUCAAUUGGCGAAUAUCUCGUUUCGUAUUCAGUGAACUUCUUACUGAGAUAAUAGAUCGCUCUUUCCUUUCGUCCUGACUCAUCAUGUUGGCCGAGCACGCACCCCAUAGAAUUCUCAAAUACUGCCAAGUAUAGUAUCAGUGGCUUGUCAGGGCAAGGUGGCAUCAGUACUGGGGCGUUGGACAAGUAAUGUUUAACUCUUUCGAAAGUUUUCUGGCACUCUUUAUCCCAUACACCUGGAUUGUGUUUCCUACGAAGACGGAAUAUGGGGUCACAUUUCUUAGUUAAUUGUGAAAUGAAUCGAGCGAUGUAAUUUAGUCUUCCUAGGAAACCCCGAACUUCUUUUUGAGUACUUGGCGGAGAUAAUUCUUGUAUGGCCUUAACUUUGUCUGGGUCAAUUUCAAUUCCUUUUUCGCUGACUAAGAAUCCUAGCAAUUUUCCUGAUCUAGCCCCGAAAGUACACUUGGCUGGGUUAAGUUUUAGCUGGAACUUCCUUAACCUUAGAAACAGUUUUCUCAGAACUUGCACGUGUUCCCCUUCUGUUCUGGAUUUUGCGAUCAUAUCAUCAACAUAAACUUCUAUCUCUUUAUGCAUCAUAUCAUGGAAUAAUGCUACCAUGGCUCUCUGAUACGUUGCUCCCGCAUUUUUCAAUCCAAAAGGCAUCACUUUAUAACAAAACGUCCCCCACAUCGUUAUGAAUGUGGUAUUCUCCCUGUCUUCAGAAAGCAUCUUAAUUUGGUUGUACCCGGAGAAACCAUCCAUGAAAGAGAACAGUGAGUAUCCGGCCGUGUUGUCUACCAAGGUAUCGAUAUGAGGCAGUGGGAAAUUAUCUUUUGGGCUGGCUUUGUUCAAGUCUCUGUAGUCCACACACAUUCGCACCUUCCCAUCUUUCUUAGGAACAGAGACUAUAUUGGCUACCCAUUCUGAGUACUUGACCACCUGUAAGAAACCAGCAUCAAAUUGCUUCUUAACUUCUUCCUUUAUUUUUAGCAAGACAUCAGGCCUCAUCCUUCGGAGCUUUUGUUGGACUGGUUUGCAUUCUUCUUUUAUAGGCAAUCGGUGUACCACGAUAUCAGUACUUAACCCUGGCAUAUCUUGGUAGGACCACGCGAAGACAUCUUUAAACUCUUGAAGCAACUCAACAAGGUCUUGCCUUGUUUCCUUGGCAAUGCAAGCGCCAAUUUUUACCUCUCUGCCCUCUUCUAAGAUCACAACUUCUACUGAUUCCUUAUAGGGUAGAAUUUGUUUUUCUUCUUCUUCCAUCAUUCUUAACAAAUCCGGAGAUAAAACGCUGUCUUGGUCACCUUCAAAAUCUUGAGGAUCAUCUAUACUCAUGUCUUGCUCAAAUAGGGACUCUGAAUUAGUAACAGAGUCACUCAUCUCGUUGAUAUCUGAAGACCUGUUAUUGGAACAAAUGGAGGCCCAAAUAAAAGGAUCUAAGAAUACUUGUAUGCAUAUUAUGAUUAUAAAGGGAAUGAAAAGAAUGAAAGAAUAUUUGCUCAAGAUGAAACUGAAUGAUAAGUUUUCACUGAAAUUAGAUUUUGGACAUGUGCCUUUUACAAAAGAUUCUUAUCACCCCCAGGCUUAGGGCAACACGUGUUCUGAAUAUUACUCUAGAUUAGCUCUAAAAAUACAGGGAUCUCUUCCACAGUCCCAUUGUUCAAAACACUCCUAAAUAUGCAAAAGUUUGGAGACUUUUAUUCCUCAGUUCCCUUUUCGGAUAUAUCAUUGAAAUUCCUCGAUAUUCCUUUCAGGCUUUUGACUUGUUCAAGGCAUUACAACUCUUUGCUCAUUAUCGUGUAACGUAAAGAUGCCUAGUCAUUUGACUUUUGUCGGUUUCCAAGUUAACUGGGAUAAUUUUACCUAAUUAGGGUCCUUUUAGGGAAAGUCUAAUGCAAAAUAAAGCAAUGCAAUGCAAAUGCAUGAAAUGAAUGCAAAAGAAAGGAAGGCGUUGAUUCUAAAUUUAAUUCUAUUAGAAUAAUUUUUCUAAAAAAUAGAUUUUUUUACAUGAAAAUAGUUUACAUAUGUGGUAUUGCCCUUCAUAGUCCAAGUAAACGCUGAUAUUUUCUUCAUGGUUAAACCCUGUAAAUUCUCCAAAAGAUGCAUUUGCUAGCUCCUUACUGCUUAAUCUGAGCCUCGAUCUCUUGCUCGCUUAUCUUCAAGAUACUCAUCAAAAAGUGCCAGCUCUUGGAUAAUCUUCGUUGGCAAUUAAAUCAAGUCAUGUAUUCCUUCGUGGACUUCCGGCUUUCUCUCGUCAUGCCUUCGUUGGCUUGAAUCUCUAGAAAUUACAUUAUGUAUUCCUCCGUGAACUACCAGCUUUCUCUCAUCGUGUUUACUCAGACUAUAUUCAGACGACCGCACUAUAAUCCACUUUAUCAAGAAAUUCGCUUCCUUAUGACAAACUAUUCUAUUUAGGAAUCGAAUUUCGAAUCAACACAUUCUUUUCUUUGAUGUAAUGCAAAUACAUGAAUGCAAAAAAAAAGGAAGACAUUGAUUCUGAAUUUAAUUUCAUUGGAACAACUUUUCUAGAAAACAAAUUCCUUUACAUAAAACGGACUACAUACACGGUCUUUCUCUCAUAUUCCAAGUGAAGACACCUUUCUUCCUCUUCAUAUCUGGAUCUUAUGGUCGAGUCUGACGAAUUCUCCAAGAGAUGUCUAUAUUAACUCCUUUUUUGCUUGAUCCAGGCUGCGACUCGUUGCUCACUUAUUUCUAUGAUACUUUUCAGCUCUUUUAAGAAAGUCAAGACAUGACAGCUCUCGAAUAAUCUUUGUUAGUUUCUGUCUUUAGGCAAUGAAGCAAAGUCUUGUAUUUCUUCACGGACUAUCAGCCUUCUUUCAUGUAUUCACUUGGACCAUAUUUAGACAACCGUGUUAUAAUCCACUUUAUCAAAAAAAAUUGUUUUCUUAUGACAAACUGUUCUAUUUAGCAAUCAAAUAUGAAUCAACACCUCCUUCCUAGGAUGAUGUAAUACAAUGCAAUUAUAAACAAAAAAAACAAAACACGUUAGUGCAGAAUAAAUAACAAAUAAAGCAAUUCGGGUGACCACUAGGGGUUUGGAGUGGCUCUACGUAGGGUAGGCUCCUAGGUCUCUCUAUAUGUGGUUUGGUUCUUGAGUAAGGGUACCUGAACCAACAGAUUCCUCGAUCCUCACCCAUUAUAGGCUCAUAUGGACCGAGUUCAGUUCAGGGGAAUACAUUUCCCUAUGGCCAUGCGGAGAUGAAAAUCUCACGAAGACAUAGGUACGGAUGUAUCCCGGAAGCGAUUCACUAUCCCAUGCGGAGGUGAAAACCUCACGAAGGCGUAGUUUCUCACUCCCACUAAAAAGGGUAUGACCAGCGGUCAUGCAAUGUAAUGUGCGAAGGUAUAAAAUAAAAUACAGAACACGAUAAAAAAUAUAACUCAGAACAAAAGAGAUGCAAUGAGAGGAUCGUAAAUUUAAAUCGAAUUUUCAACUUUCGACAAAAGACAAGAAAUAAUCAACACGUGGCUUGACUCUCUUAUUGUCCCCAGUGGAGUCGCCAAGCUGUUGACACCAUUUUUUUGUUAAAAAACGGGGUCGACUUGGAUUUUGAAAAAAAGAAUGAAAACGGGAGUCGCCACCAAUCCUUUUUUGAUGAGGUGUGAUCAGGUCACCUCAAAAAGUGGUUGUUUUUAAUAAAUGAUUUAAUUUUAUUAAAACAACGAUUUUGGUCUACGAAAUUUAGAAAAAUGAGUUCGGGAAUCGGUUACGCACGAGGAAGGAUUAGCACCCUCGACACGCCCAAAAUUGGUACCUUAGUUGAUUACAUAAUGUCUUAAUGUCGAAAAUUGAGAAUUUUGAAAAUUUUUAAAAAUUUUUACGAUCCUUAUAUUAAAACAUAAAAAAAAAUUCAGGAAAAGGGACAUAUUUCACGUUAUCUGAGAAAAAAAGAAUCAUAUCCAGUAAGUUAGGACACAAUGUCUCGAAUUCCCGAUAUCGUUUAAAACUCGAAUUUGAAAAGAUUCAUGUAAUAAAGUUUAAAAGAAUAUUCAAUUGUUUAAAUCAAAUAAAGAAAUCGCAACCCAAUACGUUAGGGCACAAUUUCUCAAAAUAUUAAACAUUGAAUAUUGCAUUUAUUUCGAAAAAUCCUUGUCUCGAGAAAGCAACGUGUCACAUCCAAUGCGUUAGGACACAACAUAUUAAAUUCUUGAUAACGAGCUUUUUAUCAUUUUUUUAAAGAGUAAUCUCGAUUAUUUAAAUUCAACGAAGAAAGUCGGAACCCAAUGCAUUAGGGCUCGAUUCUCUCGAAGAUCUAAAUAUCGAAUAUUACUUUUAUUUUAAAAUUUCAUUUUUGGCCAAUCCGAUUGAAAAGAUACGAUGUGACAACAAUGAUGAUAAUGUAAGUAAAAUAACACGAGCAAAACAUAAGAUAAAUAAAUAAUAAAACGAAGAAAACAAUCAAAAAGGCACAAUAACAAAUAAUAAACAAAUAAAAACUAAAACAUGAAUAACAAGCAUUUAAACAAAUAAAUAAAUGAACAAAAUGAUCCAAAAAAAAAUUAUGAAAAGUUAAAAGACAUAUAUAUAUGUACAAAAUUAUGAAAAUAUAAAAAAAAAACAUAUGUGUGUACACAUGAAUUAUAAACCAUAGAAAUAUCAUAAGAAAAUAUAAAUUUUUAAAAUAUAAGAGUAUGUAUAAAUACAUAUAUGCAUAUUUAUGAAAAAUAAAAGAGAUACAUGUAAGUACGUAUAUACAUAAAAAAUUUAAAAUGCAAAUAUAAAUAUAUUCAUGUAUAUAAGAAUAAUAAUAAAAGGCGUAUAUAUAUGCAUGUGAAUAUUAAGUAUGUACAUAUGAAUGUAUAUAAUAUAUAUAUAAACUAUAUAUAUAAAAAAAAUAUGGUAAUGAAAUAUAUACGCACUAUAUAUAUUUAAAACAUUUAGAAAUAAAAAUAUACACAUACAUUAUAAAGUACACAUGCGUGUAUGUAUGUAAGUAUAAUAAAAAAAUAAUAAUAGUAAUAAUAAUAAUAAUAAUAAUAACUAUAUUAAUAAAAUAAACUAAAAACUUAAAAUGAAAGAUUAUGGAUUAAAUUGAAAAUAAUUGAAGUUUCAGGGGCAAAUCUGAAACAAACAAAACACCAAUGAAUCGAAUGGAACAUGCAGUUAACAGUGGAGGACCGAAAGUCAAAUUAAUCCCUCCGUCCAAAACUCCACGCAGCAAUGGAUUAAAAUAAAACAAAUUCGACAUUUCAUGGCAAAAUUUGAAAACAAACCGCAAUGAUUUUGAACUGAUGGGAUAAAAUGAAGGAUUAAAACGCAAAUAACCCAUCAGUGUUUAAAACCCUUUUCAUCUCCAAUUAAAAGCCUACUCUGCAGCAGCAAUAGACGCAAAGUUGCUUCAUCUUCCUUUUUUCUUUUUUUGUUUUAAAACAACAGAGGGAAGAAAGAGGGAUCUGCUAGGCCUUCUUUAAAGCCCUAACUACCGCCACGCCACCGCCUUUCAAGCUUCGCCGCCGAUUCCGAUUCAGGUAAGUUUCGCCCUUUCCUUUUUUGCCUUUUCUUUUGCACCAAAAACAGAGAAGCAAAGAGAAAAAAAAAUAAAAUAAAUAAAACACAAAGAAAAUUACCUUCAAAAAUUGUUUUUGAUUCUUUGUUUGUAUUUCAGUAUUUUUCCAAUACAAUAUUUUUCUCUUUUUAGUACCCAAUCCCCCUUUUCUUUGUGAUCGAUUUUGGCUUUUUAAAACCGAUCUAUAAAACAUUCAUUUCCUAUUUUUUGUUUUCGUUCUUUUGUUUAUUCUUUUCCCCAUUCCUCGCAUGCUUCCUUUUGCUGUUGUUUUUGUCUCUGUUGCAGGUGUGUCCGGUGGGGGUGGUGCACGUGAUGGCCAAGGGCAGAGGUAGCAUGGGGCGACUGAUCAGAGGCGUGCAUGCGUGAGGGGAGGUGAAGCGGCGGCAGCUACAAAGCAUGAGGCUAGGGUUUUUUUGUUUGGUUGAAAACUAGUAUAGUUUGGGCCAUUCGGGCCUCUAAGGUUUUUAUCAUUAUUGGGCAUUUGGAUUGGGUCUGUUUUUUGGGUUAAUUUUGUUGUAAUGGUCUGUUAAUUUUUAUUAGUCUUGGUCCAUUUGGGUUUUAUGGUCUGGGCCCGGGCAAAAAUGGGCUUUUACACUAAAUAAUAAAAAAUGUUAUUUUGAAAACUUACAUUAAUCCUGAAAAUGUAAGAUUACUUAAACCCAACAGUAGCAUAAACUAAUACUGAUUGCAAUUCCGUUUACUCUUUGUUUGAUGGUUCUCCUAAGGCCUGUAGAA